This 253-nucleotide ribosomal RNA is filed under the name uncultured bacterium. Its description in RNAcentral is "partial 16S ribosomal RNA". It matches the Rfam family "Bacterial small subunit ribosomal RNA", at positions 524 to 776 of the family's 1533-position model. The record is from RNAcentral.
UACGAAGGGGGCUAGCGUUGCUCGGAAUUACUGGGCGUAAAGGGCUCGUAGGCGGCCAACUAAGUCAUACGUGAAAUCCCUCGGCUUAACCGGGGAACUGCGUCUGAUACUGGGCAGCUAGAGUGUGUCAGAGGAUGGUGGAAUUCCCGGUGUAGCGGUGAAAUGCGUAGAGAUCGGGAGGAACAUCAGUGGCGAAGGCGGCCAUCUGGGACAACACUGACGCUGAAGCACGAAAGCGUGGGGAGCAAACAGG